GCAGCUCUGAUCCUGUGUUGCUGUGGCUGUGGUCUAGACCAUCAGCUGCAGCUCUGAUUUGACCCCUAGCCUGGGAACUUCCAUAUGCCACGAGUGUGGCCCCGAAAAAAGAAAAGGAAAAAAAGAAAGAAAGAAAAGAAAUCUUUACUUUGGAACCAGAUAACUGAAUAUAGAUGACCCGAAUUUCAUUCAAUUACAGUACAUUCAGAGAUUUUUCUUAACUUUUCUUCCAAUCUUAUUGGAACCCCCAUUUAUUUCUGUGAGGUUUCAGCUAGAGUUGGGGCUCCAGGAUUCAUGCUGUGUACAUCUAGCCAGUUUUCCUUUAGCUUACUUCUUUGGAUUUAGUUGUUUCAAUACACUGCUUUAUUUGCAUUAUUGGAAAUCGAGUAGAUGCAUAGACAAUAAGAUUUGACCCAAACAAUGUCUUUCUCGUAUCAAUCCUCAGUCCUAGAAUUAUUUUCCCUUGUUUCAUGAAUAGCUCAUUAAAUAGGUAUUUUAAAAUAAUCUUAUGAAUGGAAACGUACCACUCCCAUUUUACGAAUGAGUGAACUGAGUUUUAUGGAGACGGAGUAAUUUGCCUAGGCCCUUCUUGCUAAUAAGGGAUAGAUCUGGCGUUGGAACCCAGGCAUUCUGAUUACAGAAUGCGUUUUAGUAACCACAGUGCUUUGAGCAAGCAAAUACAUGAGUAAAGGCAGAAACCAAUCAGCAAAUAGAAGAACCUUCAUGUCUCUAAGUGCCAGCACUUUGGCUGCUUGUACUUCCCCCUCGUCUAAUUUCAUCAGAACAGAAAGUCCCUUUGUUUAUUCCAAAUACUGGUUCCAAAGAAGGCUUUUAGGUAGGCUCCUGAAGUCCACCAGGCUGGGGUGCUCCCUUGAGCAUCGUCCCGAUCACCUGGGUUGUGGGACCCUCGGGUUUCCAUCCUUCUCGCUAGGACACCAUGGAAACAGUCUACCAGCUCACUAGAUUUUGAAUGAUGGGCUAUUUUGGUAAAGAGUCUGACUCCCAAAAGUCCCAGAUGCUGCAUGUUCUCAGAAAGGAAAUUAGAUCCGUAGCCAUUUAGAAUAAUAUUUAUAUCCACUCUUAUCCUGUUUCAUGCAUUUUCAGCAGUACAGCCCCGGGGACCUUUUAAAAACAUAAAGUUAUCCAUGUCACGCCCUUGUCUAAAAACUUACAGUGGGACUUCGAAUUUAAGAUAAUGAACUGAACCUCUAAGUUUCCUUCCCUCCCUCCUCAGGCCCCACUGAAACCGAAGACAAGAAACGUCAAAGAGAAUCGACACAUCUCAGCAAAGAAGAACGGAAGGAUUUGGUUCUAAGUGAAGAAGAUCUCAGCAAAUGUGUGGGAGAAACGACGACGAAAGAGUACAGCUGCUCUCGGACAGGACAUAAGCAAAUCGGAACAGCCUAACCCCAGAGAAAUGUGGGCGUCUGAAAAAUCCAUCAGUUGUGAACCUGAACCCCAUCCGUCUACCGCAACCUUUGUGCGCAGAACACAGGCAAUCUCCUCUUAGUUUCAGUGAUAAAAGUCUAUUGUUCUUGUUGUGUUUGUAUAAAGGAAUCAAAUAAACUGCCCGAGGAGAGGUAGAAGUUGGUGCUCCAAAAGAAAAUUUCUCUUUUUUGUGGAAAUAAGUGACCCCUUAACCUACUAGCUAAUUCUCUACUGGCAGCUGAGAUCCCGACCGAAGUAUCCAAGUGCUUUCAAUUGUAGCGAGGCUUAGGGGAGUAGCAGACCCGCUACACAAUGACAGAGGGAACUCACAGCCACACUGUAAAAAUCACCUGUUUUAUGGAUUCUUCAAUGCGAAUUGUCAGCUAGAACUUCUCAGACAUUGAGCCUUGGGAGUAGGGGUUGGGGGGAGGGACCAGGAGAGAAGCAUGGAAGAAAGACAGCCAGUUAGAAUCAGGAGAUGUGAAAAACACAGCAAACUCUGGGGGACACAGAGUUACCAUGGGAAAAAAUAAAAAUUAGGUCUGAGAUGUCUUUGUAAGGUAAAAACAGGAUGCUACAAAGAAAAGGAAAACUCUGAAAAUGAGAAGAGCCCUUAAAGUGAAAUAACACUGCCAAAAAAUUCUUAGAGACAGGCUGGAAAAUUAAGUUGAAGGAAUCUCCCUAGAUAUGGAGCAAAAUGAAAUAGAAAAUAUAAAGAAAGGAAAGAGACAUGGACAAUCAAGAUCUAAAGGAGUUUUUGGAAGAGAGAAUAUAGAACAUGUAGGCGAAGAAAGAAAAAGAAUUGAACAGAAAGAACUAAGUCGCUAAAUUGAGGGGACCCCAUCCAACCUACAUCUAGGUGUAACCGUGUGAAAUUUUGGUAUAUUAAGGAUAAAGGGAAGCUAUUGAAAAUGCCAGGAGAGAAAAUAAAAUUAGGUCAUCAUACUUAGCUUGACUAAAAAGGGAUGAGAAAUAGACCAGGAGUAGAUUUUCAUCAGCUACACAAUGCCAGAAGCCAACAGAGUGUCUUCACACAUGGGAAAUCUUCGUACCCAGCAUUCCAUAGCAAGUCACUGUCAAGGGUCAAGUCAAAUAAAGUAAUUAUCUGACAUGCAAGUUUUCAGAAAGUCCAUCUGCUUUGCACCCUCACUGAGGAAGCACCCUGAGGAAGUUCUCCAGCAAAGUGAGGACGAAAAGCAGGAAGGAAAUAGCAUCCAGAAAGCAGUGGACCUCACCCAGGAUGGCUCGCUCCAGAGUGACGAGUAUCCAGCAGGAUGGUUCACGCUAGACUAACAGCUAAGAGAACCAUUUUAGAUGGGAGUACAGGGUCUCAGGCUCUCUGGGGAGAAUGUGCAUUCUGUGCCAUAGAUAGUAUCCUUGAAAAGAUGGAAUGUUUAAGAAUAUGCAGGUGAUACAUUCUUUAGUCAACAACAACAACAAAGACAAAAAUAUCUCAAAUUCAGGUCCAGUUAUGAAACAAUGACAAAAAUACUCAUGGUAAUUUAAGAGACCCGACAUUGGCAGUAGGUGCAUUUCAUUUCAAGUGACACAGGAAUCAUGACAUUGGAUAUGUUUGGAAGAAGAUAUUCUAGCUUCUACUUAGCUCUCAGUAAACAGUAUUUACAGAGCCAAAAUAAUGUAGAUACUAUUGGAAUUCAGUAUCCUGAUCAGCCUAUAGACAAAACAUGGAAGCUUAAUUUUUUUUAUUCGGAAGUGAACUUGAAAGUAAUUAAUCCUGAAAAGAAUAAAGAAAACAAAGAGGCUGAGAAUGAGUUGGAGGAAGAGAGGUGGUAGGAAGAACAGAAUUACUCAUCUAUUCAACGGGGGGAUGAAAAAGCCUACAGUUAAUGGAAAAAAGCUAAGGGAAGAGUCACUGUUCAAAACUAUAAAUUAAACCAAUGGAAGUAUUAAAAAUGGCAUCAAUCAAAAAUUGGGGAAGGGAUAGGCAAAUGAAGGGUAAGACCAGUGUAAGUUAAAUCCUUAUCUUUUGUAAUGGGGAAUUAUUAAAGAUUGUCUAAAGUUAAUAAGUCAAGAAAUUAUUGUUCAAGCAUAUUAUUUAAUGUUAGGAAGUUAGUUAACAGAAUAUCUAAAAAAUAGACAUUGUUCAAUGCAUUGCCUCUAGGAUAUGGGACUAGGGUUAAAAGUGUGGGGUGGGAAACUGUGUUUUGCAUUUAGUCCUUCUGUGCUAUUUAAUUUUUUACUUUGUGCAUGUAUUACUUUUAAAAUUUCUAAUAAACUCAAAUAAAAA
RNAcentral lists this long non-coding RNA (3676 nucleotides) under Sus scrofa (pig). Its description in RNAcentral is "lncRNA (ENSSSCG00005006764.1)". The record is from RNAcentral. Lineage: Eukaryota; Metazoa; Chordata; Mammalia; Artiodactyla; Suidae.